Molecule: ribosomal RNA, 442 nt
Filed under: uncultured bacterium
Lineage: Bacteria
Description: bacterial SSU rRNA
Rfam family: Bacterial small subunit ribosomal RNA
Source: RNAcentral
AACGCGAAGAACCUUACCAGGUCUUGACAUGUACAGUAUGGUUCCCGGAAAGGGGAACCUUCAGUUUGGCUGGCUGUACACAGGUGCUGCAUGGCUGUCGUCAGCUCGUGUCGUGAGAUGUUGGGUUAAGUCCCGCAACGAGCGCAACCCUCAUCCUUAGUUGCCAACAGGUUAAGCUGGGAACUCUAAGGAAACUGCCGGUGAUAAGCCGGAGGAAGGUGGGGAUGACGUCAAGUCUUCAUGGUCCUUACGACCUGGGCUACACACGUGCUACAAUGGCGGUGACAAUGGGGAGCCAACCCGCAAGGGUGCGCAAAUCUCAAAAAGCCGUCUCAGUUCGGAUUGCACUCUGCAACUCGAGUGCAUGAAGCUGGAAUCGCUAGUAAUCGUAGAUCAGCAUGCUACGGUGAAUACGUUCCCGGGCCUUGUACACACCGCACGA